AUCCCUUGACAUCCAGUGAAUUAUCUAGAGAUAGAUGAGUGCCUUCGGGAACACUGAGAC
RNAcentral lists this ribosomal RNA (60 nucleotides) under uncultured bacterium. Its description in RNAcentral is "partial 16S ribosomal RNA". The record is from RNAcentral.